Myodes glareolus (Bank vole) is the source of this 3042-nucleotide non-coding RNA. The record is from RefSeq and is a predicted model, not a curated record. NCBI's taxonomy places the organism in Eukaryota, Metazoa, Chordata, Mammalia, Rodentia, Cricetidae.
UGUGUUAGGACCUGCACUCCUGUACUUCCUGUGAACUGCCCAGGGAUAGAGUUCAACUGAGCCCAGGCAUCAAUCUGAAGAAAAAGAAGCCAUCUUCAUUAAGUAAAAAUGCUACAUGUAAAAAAAUAAACCAUAGUCUAUGUAUUAAGAUUCUUGGAAAAUGAGAAGAUUCAAAAGGCAAAGAGGACACUCCUGGAAAAUAGAAGACAGUUAAGAUUCAUACAAAUAUCGUGGAAAUUCUGUAGUCACUCCUUUCUGAGGAUGAAGCUGGCUGGUUUCUGGGAAGGAAGACGAUUCUAUGGCAGGGGAACACCAUCUUGAUGAGUUGUUUUCCACACACAUGGAUUUACGCAGUUUCGUCCAUGUCAGCACACUCACGUGCAAGACAGUUGUGGGAGUAGGAAUAACAAGGAUAAUUUAGCCCUUGUGAAGAUAAAAUUCUGUCAUCUUUGCUAAAAUGUUUUGUGGUCAAGACUGAAGAUCCGUAAACUUCAGUUAUACUUAUUAAAACAAAAAAGACUGAUUUUAAAAAAGAUUACCUUGCCACUUAGAAAAAAAAUUUUGCAUUACUCUUUAAAAAAAAUUUUAAAAAACCAAAAGCAAAAACAAAAAACAACAUCAUUUGGAACUCUACUGAAAUCAGGUCAGUGCUCCUCUGGUAGAAAGAACACCAGCUCUACAAAUAAAGGAAACUUAGAUGGUAACUAUUAUCAACUUUUCUUAGGUGUCUUUAACAUUGCUACAGAAAUAGAUAGAUGAAAGCAAAACAGUCCUAGCCUUCCUAAAGUUUGGGAUUCUUUUCAUUACUACUGAAAUUACCUUCUACCUAGCAUCUAGAUCUUUGUAUAAGUAGCUCAGCUCUCACACUGCACCUUCCCCACAGACUUCUGCUUUAUUCAUCUGACCAACUGGCAGAGCUUUCCUUCUGUUUCAGUGUUUCUGUCCUCUCUGAACACUGCCCCCUUAAUUAGAUUCUAACCUUUGAUGGGAGACAAGGCUAGAGCAUCACUUACAAUUUUGAGACUGAAAAUGGCAGUCAUAUAUUUUAAAUAAACUUUCUCGUUCAAACAGCAUAAUCAACAUGCACUAAGCACUUUCCCCAUGACUCAACAGAAGCUAAAACUUAUAAUCAUUUACUCAAAAAAAUGUUAGAUUUCUACAAAAAGUCUUUGCUACAACGGAGAUUCUCUCUGGCUAUGUUCUUCCCAACUGUUUAAAUAAUAAUCUGAAAUAAACUACUAAAAGCAUAUAUAUAUCAGGACAUCUAAUUUUGUACAACCCUCACCUGGUUUAUAUUCAGCUACUACAAGAAGAUUAAAUUAGCUGCAGAUGUCAGUUAGCGUUCCCUCCUAAGAUGUGGAAGUAGCCCGCCCGAUUUGGGGAUUAGUAUAUGAGCACUGAACUUGCUUCAACUUAAAGUCCAAACCAGAUACCCUUCUCCUCACUGGUGAUGUUUUGAUUUGAUUCAGUUGCUGAACUCUGUGUGACUACAGACCAUCACCUUUAACUGUAAAUAAGUUAUCUACACUGGCCAGUUACGUUCAUCAGUAUUACUAUUUAGAACUGUUCCCAUUCAAAAUGCCGCAGGUCAAAAAAACACAGUGAAAAUGUCGCCUGUGAUUAUCUCUGGGGAAAAGUACUACAUGAAAAAGUUUCUGAUUUGAGCUCUAUUUACUUUGACUUUAUAAACAAGAUUUAUUUGUAGAAUUGGAAGUGUCUACUGGAAAAUGUUUAUGGCCAAUGUAGGGAACCUCAAGUGAAGAGUCGAGGUCUCUCAGACCUACAUAUCCCAGAACUGCAAGAAAAAGGAGUCCAUAAGGGCAUCAGGUAUCUAUGGACGAAUGUCAAGGCUUUGGAAACCGAGGGCAAGGUGACGACUGUUAGUCUCUAACUCCCACCUCCCCUAGUCAAGUCUCCACCCUCCCAGAUCCCCAAGCGUGAUUUUGCACAACAAGUUAAAUAAAAGUAAACUGUUUAUUAAAAGACACAGCAAAGAUACAGAUACAGAGAUACAUACAAAGAUACAGAUAUAUAUAUAUUUACAUAUAUAUACAGUUUUGCUGUUCUCAUGUGCACUGUACUUAGCAGCACAUUACUUAAUCAGGCGGCAUUUUAAUGGGGUUGUUUUGACAUUUGGCAUUGUUACUGCGUCCUUUUGACAAGAUACAACUAUUGCCUUGAGAGAUUUCAAUGUGUAAAUUUCACUCCUCCAACUUUCAAUAGUAGCAAAGAGGGGAAAGAGUAGGGAAUGGAGAACCAAGGCUGAACACUAGGUUAAACACAAGAAUUCAAAAGGGCUAAGGUAGCACAAGGAAGGGAAAAUUAUUGAAAUCAAAGGCUAUCUGAAAACCCAGAGAAAUAUUAAGAAACCAUCACUUAAGGGCAAUGGGCUAUGUGCCCACGAUGUUCACAUCAACCUGCAAUGACUUUUUCAAUCCAGUUCUUGUGUUGAACCUGAGGAUCUGCCUUCUCUCCCCUGAAUCCCUCCACCCAACAUACUUGCUACCACCAAAAUCUAGAGCUAUAGAGCCUAGAAGCAAAACGGGAAGCUAAAUAGUUGUACCUUGGGCUCCCUUCCCACAAGUGCAUGGAGGGCCCAAUGUUGGGUAGGGAUGUGAUAACACUUUUCUCUGCAAUUCGAUGCUUUUCACUUUGUGGCUUCGUUCCACAAAGUGAAUUGCAUCGAGUUACUGUCAAAUGAGAAGCUGCGGGUUGUUUCAUCUGUCGUUUAACCCGGCCCUGCCGUUUAACCCGGCCCUAAGAAGAGUGAAACAGAAUCCAAAUCAGAUAUAAAAUAACAAUAAAAUGGGAGAUUCAGACAUAAAAACAAACACACAUAUUCCUACUACUUACCUCUGAGGGCAAGCUGCUGCUGAAAACAUUAUCGUCAUCCUUGUUUUCUUCACCGUUUUUCUCUACAGGAACCCAUUCUCCAUAAACACUAUCAGCUUCUUUUUUCCGAUGCUGAGAUCCAGAUGACACAGGAAAUUCCUUUGUUAAUGUUACUUGGCUUUUUGGUGGAGUUGGUUUUGCUGCAGCAAU